RNAcentral lists this ribosomal RNA (369 nucleotides) under uncultured organism. Its description in RNAcentral is "partial 16S ribosomal RNA". It matches the Rfam family "Bacterial small subunit ribosomal RNA", at positions 527 to 896 of the family's 1533-position model. The record is from RNAcentral.
GUAGGUGGCAAGCGUUGUCCGGAAUUAUUGGGCGUAAAGCGCGCGCAGGCGGUCCUUUAAGUCUGAUGUGAAAGCCCACGGCUCAACCGUGGAGGGUCAUUGGAAACUGAGGGACUUGAGUACAGAAGAGGAAAGCGGAAUUCCACGUGUAGCGGUGAAAUGCGUAGAGAUGUGGAGGAACACCAGUGGCGAAGGCGGCUUUCUGGUCUGUAACUGACGCUGAGGCGCGAAAGCGUGGGGAGCAAACAGGAUUAGAUACCCUGGUAGUCCACGCCGUAAACGAUGAGUGCUAAGUGUUAGGGGGUUUCCGCCCCCUUAGUGCUGCAGCUAACGCAUUAAGCACUCCGCCUGGGAUACGACGCAAGGUUG